This 362-nucleotide long non-coding RNA is filed under the name Serinus canaria (Common canary). RNAcentral describes it as "lncRNA (ENSSCAG00000008271.1)". Lineage: Eukaryota; Metazoa; Chordata; Aves; Passeriformes; Fringillidae. The record is from RNAcentral.
ACAGCAACCUGUAUUUGUAACUUUGCAUUUCCUCUUUAUCUCAGCAGGCUUAUGGCCAUACCACUAAAUGUGAACUUUAUUGUCAGCACUGGAAAUGUGGGCCCUAUCACAAGGCCCACAUUAGGAGGCACCUGGCUAAUUGCUGCACAAUUAAUUCAGGUCUGAUUCAGUCUUACAGUUUUGAUGUCUCAAAUAAAGGUCAGCACCUUAACAAGGAGCACAUUCACAAGUGGAUGAGACAAGCAGGGGCUGGAGAAGACAUCUGCCUCCAAACUCCUGAUGGACCUCAAGGACCUGUGUCUGGUAGGAGAACUGCUGCAGGAGGGGAGAGAGAGCUCAGAAGAUGUUUGGUUUUUUUUUUU